RNAcentral lists this ribosomal RNA (1256 nucleotides) under uncultured fungus. Its description in RNAcentral is "eukaryotic LSU rRNA". The stretch from base 604 to 1256 matches the Rfam family "Eukaryotic large subunit ribosomal RNA", at positions 1 to 667 of the family's 3401-position model. The record is from RNAcentral. Lineage: Eukaryota; Fungi.
CUUGGUCAUUUAGAGGAAGUAAAAGUCGUAACAAGGUUUCCGUAGGUGAACCUGCGGAAGGAUCAUUAACGUAUCUCCGAGUCCGGCGGCCGGCCUUGCCGUGCCCCGGCUCGAAAACCACAAACCACCGUGCUCCUUUACGGCCCCAGGUCGUCGGCGAAAGUCGCUCGACCGGAGCCGCAUUCAAAUAGACUCCAGUUCAAAAGAAUGCAAAGCGGACUCGAUCCGCCCAUAAACUGAAACAACUUUCAACAACGGAUCUCUUGGCUCUCGCAUCGAUGAAGAACGCAGCGAAAUGCGAUAAGUAAUGUGAAUUGCAGAAUUCAGUGAAUCAUCGAAUCUUUGAACGCACCUUGCGCUCCUUGGUAUUCCGAGGAGCAUGCCUGUUUGAGUGUCUUGAAGUCAUCAACCGCUCCCGUUUGAAUGCGGGGGACGGUUGGAUCUGGGGGCUUGCCGCUGCGAAGCGGCUCCCUUCAAAUGCAUCGGUUGGACCUGUGGGUCGAACUCGACUGGGCGUUGUAACAUCCUCGCUCUACCGAGACGUUCCCCUUUGGCGUCCUCCCACGACCGCCUGUGGAGUGGCGGUCAACUUGCUUUGAAAUCUGACCUCAAAUCAGGUAGGACUACCCGCUGAACUUAAGCAUAUCAAUAAGCGGAGGAAAAGAAACUAACAAGGAUUCCCCUAGUAACUGCGAGUGAAGCGGGAAAAGCUCAAAUUUGAAAUCUGGCGGUCCCACCGUCCGAGUUGUAUUCUGGAGAAGCGUCUUCCGUGCCGGACCGUGUACAAGUCCCUUGGAACAGGGCGUCAUAGAGGGUGAGAAUCCCGUCUUUGACACGGACCCCCGGUGCUAUGCGAUGCGCUCUCGAAGAGUCGAGUUGUUUGGGAAUGCAGCUCAAACUGGGUGGUAAAUUCCAUCUAAAGCUAAAUAUUGGCGAGAGACCGAUAGCGAACAAGUACCGUGAGGGAAAGAUGAAAAGCACUUUGGAAAGAGAGUAAAACAGUACGUGAAAUCGUUGAAAGGGAAACGCUUGAAGUCAGUCGCGUCUGCCGGAACUCAGCCUUGCUUCUGCUUGGCGCACUUUCCGGUCCGACGGGCCAGCAUCGGUUUCGGGAGGCGGACACUGGCGAGGGGAAGGUGGUGGCUCAGGCCGCGUUAUAGCCCCACGUCGCGAACGUCUCUGGGGACCGAGGAAUCCGGCGCAAGCCUGGGAUGCUGGCGUAAUGGCUUUAAACGACCCGUCUUGAAACACGGACC